AUGUGUGGAAAACCGCUGCUUCGAGCUUCGUCAAAAAUCUGGCAAGGGUGGUGGCGGUCGCGUCGGAAGCUAUUUACAAUUCAAAGGUUUUUGAGCGGCAUCACUGAUGGCAGUCGUUGGUCUACAGAUUUGUGUAAGGUGCACCGAAGAUCUACAGAGUCAGAUGUUGUUGUCGAAGAGCAAGAUGCAAAGGCAUGUGAAGGAACUUUAUGUUUAUCGGUUCUACUUCUUUUUUCUGUCUUUCUGCAAACACAACAAGCAAAAGACAAAUAA
This is a non-coding RNA of Vicia faba (fava bean), 273 nucleotides long. The record is from the annotation of a GenBank genome assembly. NCBI's taxonomy places the organism in Eukaryota, Viridiplantae, Streptophyta, Magnoliopsida, Fabales, Fabaceae.